UACGUAGGGUGCGAGCGUUAAUCGGAAUUACUGGGCGUAAAGCGUGCGCAGGCGGUUUUGUAAGCCAGAUGUGAAAUCCCCGGGCUCAACCUGGGAAUGGCAUUUGGGACUGCAAGGCUGGAGUGCGGCAGAGGGAGGUGGAAUUCCACGUGUAGCGGUGAAAUUCGUAGAUAUCAGGAGGAACACCGGUGGCGAAGGCGGCUUCCUGGCCAUUCACUGACGCUGAGACGCGAAAGCGUGGGGAGCAAACAGG
Molecule: ribosomal RNA, 253 nt
Filed under: uncultured bacterium
Lineage: Bacteria
Description: partial 16S ribosomal RNA
Rfam family: Bacterial small subunit ribosomal RNA
Source: RNAcentral